CUGAAGAGAACUAUGCUUUCUGUGGGAAAACACUGCUCUUGUAAUGUUGCUGUAGACUGCUUCAUCUUGAUUUAUCCUUAUUCUAAAUUUAUAUAAAGACAGCAGUGAUUCUUCCAUAUCAGGAACCGUGAAAAGGUUAUGGGCCUGAUCUUAGCUUCAGUUUCCUAGUAAACUUCACCUCCCAGUGAACAGCAGUUUGGUUAUCUCUGCAGGUAAGGUGGCAGGAGGAGACUGCCAAGAAGUUGUCCAGGAAAGUUUAACCAGCUCCCCUCAGGUUCUACUCCUCCAAUAACGCUUUUGCAUUAAAUCCAAAAUGCCACUUGUCAAAUAACACAAGACUUUUCUUGUAAUCACACAGGAUUAUAUUAGAAUAUUAAACUAGACACAACUGAACCAUUCCAUUUAUUCAUAAUUUUAAAGUAAAAAUAAUAAUAAUAAUAAGCUAAUAUUUUCUGAAUAUGGAAAGGACUAACUAGAGUGUUUAUACCUGCAGCCUCUGAACUAAGCACUCUGUCUGAUGCUGAUGGUUUGCUUUUACUAGCAGUUAUUACAUCUUUAGUCACAUGUACAGGAAAUGUUCACAGCCUCUGUUCUGUGCUGGUCUUAUCACUUUAAAUUACACUUCCUACUUGUUCUUGAAAUAGCACCAACAUAACUUCAUUGGGUUUGAUAUUUUAACAUACAAUCAC
RNAcentral lists this long non-coding RNA (689 nucleotides) under Coturnix japonica (Japanese quail). RNAcentral's name for it is "lncRNA (ENSCJPG00005000309.1)". The record is from RNAcentral. Lineage: Eukaryota; Metazoa; Chordata; Aves; Galliformes; Phasianidae.